This 391-nucleotide ribosomal RNA is filed under the name uncultured bacterium. RNAcentral describes it as "partial 16S ribosomal RNA". It matches the Rfam family "Bacterial small subunit ribosomal RNA", at positions 523 to 916 of the family's 1533-position model. The record is from RNAcentral.
AUACGGAGGAUCCGAGCGUUAUCCGGAUUUAUUGGGUUUAAAGGGUGCGUAGGCGGCCUUGUAAGUCAGCGGUGAAAUUUUGCAGCUUAACUGUAAAAGUGCCGUUGAUACUGUGAGGCUAGGAUUUGGUUGCUGUGGGUGGAAUGUGUGGUGUAGCGGUGAAAUGCUUAGAGAUCACACAGAAUAUCGAUUGCGAAGGCAGCUCACAAAGCCAAGAUUGACGCUGAGGCACGAAAGUGUGGGGAUCAAACAGGAUUAGAUACCCUGGUAGUCCACACUGUAAACGAUGAUAACUCGCUGUCGGCGAUAUACAGUCGGUGGCCAAGCGAAAGUGAUAAGUUAUCCACCUGGGGAGUACGACCGCAAGGUUGAAACUCAAAUGAAUUGGCGG